This 580-nucleotide ribosomal RNA is filed under the name Scrippsiella trochoidea. RNAcentral's name for it is "partial Bacterial small subunit ribosomal RNA". It matches the Rfam family "Bacterial small subunit ribosomal RNA", at positions 921 to 1502 of the family's 1533-position model. Lineage: Eukaryota; Dinophyceae; Peridiniales; Peridiniaceae. The record is from RNAcentral.
CCGCACAAGCGGUGGAGCAUGUGGUUUAAUUCGAUGCAACGCGAAGAACCUUACCUACACUUGACAUGCAGAGAACUUUCCAGAGAUGGAUUGGUGCCUUCGGGAACUCUGACACAGGUGCUGCAUGGCUGUCGUCAGCUCGUGUCGUGAGAUGUUGGGUUAAGUCCCGCAACGAGCGCAACCCUCGCCCUUAGUUGCCAGCAUUUAGUUGGGCACUCUAGGGGGACUGCCGGUGAUAAGCCGAGAGGAAGGUGGGGAUGACGUCAAGUCCUCAUGGCCCUUACGGGCUGGGCUACACACGUGCUACAAUGGCGGUGACAAUGGGCAGCGAACCCGCGAGGGGGAGCUAAUCUCAAAAAGCCGUCUCAGUUCGGAUUGUUCUCUGCAACUCGAGAGCAUGAAGUUGGAAUCGCUAGUAAUCGCGUAACAGCAUGACGCGGUGAAUACGUUCCCGGGCCUUGUACACACCGCCCGUCACACCAUGGGAGUUGGUUCUACCCGACGACGCUGCGCUAACCUUCGGGAGGCAGGCGGCCACGGUAGGAUCAGUGACUGGGGUGAAGUCGAAACAAGGUAGCCG